This 484-nucleotide ribosomal RNA is filed under the name uncultured bacterium. RNAcentral describes it as "partial 16S ribosomal RNA". It matches the Rfam family "Bacterial small subunit ribosomal RNA", at positions 30 to 507 of the family's 1533-position model. The record is from RNAcentral.
AUUGAACGCUGGCGGCAGGCCUAACACAUGCAAGUCGAGCGGAUGAAGGGAGCUUGCUCCUGGAUUCAGCGGCGGACGGGUGAGUAAUGCCUAGGAAUCUGCUUGGUAGUGGGGGAUAACGUCCGGAAACGGGCGCUACUACCGCCUACGUCCUGGGGGUGAAAGUGGGGGAUGUUCGGACCUCACGCUAUCAGAUGAGCCCAGGCGGGGUUAGCUAGUUUGUGGGGUAAAGAGCUGCCAAGCGGACGAUCCGUAACUGGUCUGAGAGGAUGAUCAAUCGCAUUGGAAGUGAGACACGGUCCAGAGUCCUACGGGAGGCACCAGUGGGGAAUAUUGGACAAUGGGCGAAAGCAUUAUCCAGCCAUGCCGCGUGUGAGAAGAAGGUCUUCGGAUUGUAAAGCACGUUAAGUUGUGAGGAAGGGCAGUAAGUUAAUACCUUGCUGUUUUGACGUUACCAGCAGAAUAAGCACCGGCUAACUUCGUG